GACGAACGCUGGCGGCGUGCUUAACACAUGCAAGUCGAACGGAAAGGCCCUGCUUUUGUGGGGUGCUCGAGUGGCGAACGGGUGAGUAACACGUGAGUAACCUGCCCUUGACUUCGGGAUAACUUCAGGAAACUGGGGCUAAUACCGGAUAGGCGCUCCUGCUGCAUGGUGGGGGUUGGAAAGUUUCGGCGGUUGGGGAUGGACUCGCGGCUUAUCAGCCUGUUGGUGGGGUAGUGGCUUACCAAGGCUUUGACGGGUAGCCGGCCUGGGAGGGUGACCGGCCACAGUGGGACUGAGAUGCGGGCCGGACUCCUACGGGAGGCAGCAGUGGGGGAUAGUGCACGAUGGGCGGAGGCCUGAUGCAGCAACGCCGCGUGCUGGAUGACGGCCUUCGGGGUGUAAACCGCUUUCGCCUGUGACGGAGCGUGAGUGACGGUAAUGGGUAAAGAAGCACCGGCUAACUACGUG
RNAcentral lists this ribosomal RNA (468 nucleotides) under uncultured bacterium. RNAcentral describes it as "partial 16S ribosomal RNA". It matches the Rfam family "Bacterial small subunit ribosomal RNA", at positions 28 to 507 of the family's 1533-position model. The record is from RNAcentral.